Long non-coding RNA from Bubalus bubalis (water buffalo), 812 nucleotides. RefSeq lists it as uncharacterized. The transcript is spliced from 2 exons. The record is from RefSeq and is a predicted model, not a curated record. NCBI's taxonomy places the organism in Eukaryota, Metazoa, Chordata, Mammalia, Artiodactyla, Bovidae.
GCACGAGCUCGACUGGCAUUUCCGGGCGCCCUGUGUGACGUCACGGCGAGGCGCGGCAGCGGUGGCUUAGGGGCUAUUCCUCCCUCAGCAACUCGGCGAGUAGAAGGGACAUGGAGCCGUGAAUCAUUUGACGCUCGUGUUUGCGUUCUUAGGGCUUGCUGAAUGAAGUCUGGUCGCUUGAGGAUGUCUUGGCUCGAAGUCCCAAGUUGCGCACACUCGGCGAGGGCGAUGAGGGUUUCGCAUACGUGAGGGUAGGCCCGAGAGUGAAGGAGAAUUGAAGUGGAAGUCAGUGUUAAUCACUCAGUCGUCUCCCACUCUUUGCGACCCCAUGGACUGUAGCCCGCCAGGUUGCUCUGUCCGUGGGAUUCUCCAGGCAGGAAUACUGGAGUGGGUUGCCACUUCCUCCUCCAGGAGAUCUUCCCGACCGAGCGAUCGAACCCAGGUCUCCUGCAUUACAGGCAGAUUCUUUACUGCCUGAGCCAUUAAGAUGGAAACUAGCCCCCAUACAGUUAGCGGUCAGGGUCUCAGAGAGUUUGAGAGGCGAAUGAGGUGGGAGCUGGGCGGUCCCAGGUGGUUAUCCUCUAAGAUUGGCCAGUCUGUGCAACUUAGUGCCAGGGACCGCCACAAGAACAUUCUGCUGCUUCUUGAACACAUGAAGACAUUGAGGGUAGAACUGUCCUCAGGAAAUUGAUGGAGGAAGUGGCCCUUGGAAAAUCUGAGAGGUCCUGUUGAUUGGGAACAUUGGUCCCAGCAGUGUGUGUAUUUGGAUAGAAUCCUCUUACAAUAAAACAUGCUGAGGUGUCUGUGAUGGA